UCAAAUCGCUCAAACAUGUCGCUGUCGGAUCUAUGGGUACAGUGUCUACUAUGGGGAAACCUGUGAGAAAACUCUAGGGCUGGAGCACUGCUACGCGCCGCUACAGUGGUUACAGUUGGAGCACUAGCACAGUUCAGCACUAGCAUAUUUCCUGACAGCAAAGCCACUGUAGCGCUAAAGCGGCCAGUGCUCAGCCUGGCCGGCUUGCAGAGUUUUCGUACAUGUGUGCAUGUAUUACCAGGGACGAAACAGGACAGCAGAGACAAGCUCUUGUCGCUGAUUACCGGCGCCCUUAUCGUCCUACGUUCGUAGUGUGGGCGCGCUAUACGUACUAUGGGAACAGUUGAUUGAGGUAAGGUUAUGGCAGAAACUUGAGAAUAGCACUCGCCAAGUUACGCGGGUGAUGUUCCAAAAUGGCACAAAAACGUCUGACUUCGUCAUCCCUACGUCUGUGAGUUGGUUCCCAGGCCAGCCAUCAUGGCACCAUUUUCAAGGCCUAGGCCCUCUAAAUUCUGGUGAAAGGGUUUCAGCCAUUUGGCUUUAACACGAUGCGAAUCUUUGGCUGAAGCCGAACACUAUUUACCAUCAUGGUGGAAGGCGACUGACAUCAUUACAAUGGGAAAAUCAACUCCAAAAAGCCACCCGAAGAGCAUGAAGCAUGUGUUCAACUAAGCAGCUGCUUAGCUUCUAGACAUUGAAGCGAAGGUGAAGGAGACUUCACUUUUUUCCAGUGCAUGUGUACGAAUAAGCCUUUCACUUCUUCCUACUGGCUUCACUUAUAUCCUUUCAACUUGGUGCUGAUUUAUGGAUGACCUGCAGAGCAUGGCGUGGAGACCAACGAUGCAGUUGAUCUUGGGACUCUUACAAGGGGUGGCUGGAAUCAUGCCACUUUUCUAAACAAACACGUUACUGCCUGGCCGCUGCACUUUAAAGGGACACUAAUGAGAAAGAUCAUUUGACCUGCAUUAGUGUAAAUUGUCCUUUUACAACACCAAAAACACUACUCUUACCGCAAGAAGAUGCUCGGUAAGCCAAAAAAGGCGCAAGAAAAGAAAGUCGGGUGGCGACACAGCCUUGAAGUUUUGGCACCAGCUCAUUGUGACAUCAGAGAUUUUGACGUCUGCUGGGCCUAGUUAAUUUUUCAUUGUUAAAAAUGGGCUACAUUGUGUCCUAAAAGAGGCAGAUACUGAAUUUGGCAAGUUUGGAGAACAUUUAUUGCUGUGUCACCACGACCCAACUACGAGAAAAUACUUUGAAAUCAAUGACGAAGCAAUAAGGUUUUAAUGUGGCCAUAGUGUUUUUUUGUCCAAUAAUCAACCUCUUGCUAGUUACAUUAAUGAAAAUGUUGUUUUGAAAGGAUGCUUUGUCUGUGUUAGCUGAACCUGUGUUCUUCUAUAGUGUCCUUUUAAACAUGGUAAACUGACUGCACCAUGUGGACGUGCAGAGGUUACAGUGUCAACACAUGGAGCAUAAUUUAGCACUUUCACGCAAUAGAAGCUUGUCUUCCUUGUAGCUGCAUCUAAAAAAAUUAAAUGUUGUUUAUUGUCUUGUGCUUGUUUUGCAUCACAUGAUAAUACCAUGUCAUGAUAAUAUCAUCGCAUGGUAAUAGCAUCACAUGAUACUUAAUAAAUAAAUAAAUAUGACUUAAAUUCUCCUUGCAGUAUACUGUAAAUGUACAGCGCUCAAGGAUUGAAACGUGAUACUUGGAGCACCUGGUGGCCGGUUCUUUUUGCGCGACUGGUGAGCUCUGGUUUGAUCGCUGAUCAGCCACCGAACACAGCCAAAAUGCAUUGAAAAGGCUCGCAUUUUCAUGUAAUGGCAAGAAUACAUCGGCUUGGUGACCCCACAGCCACCCCUAGUGCAAAAAUGUGCCAUCAGCCAUUUGCUCCGAGUAUGGAGUUCCAAUCGCUGAGCACUGUACGUCUGGAGCUGUAUAAAGCCAAAGGAUGACCUAAAUGAGUACAAGAUGAGUGGAAACAGCACAAACAAGUGAUAAUUACAAAGUGAUCAUGUGGCUUUUUGAAUCGGGUAGUGCUUGUUUUCAUUGACACUUAGCAUCCUAACGGUUUCAGUUACUUGAAAAGGAAUUUCUUUUUUUAUAUAUAUAACCACACAUAUUAACUCCCUCUGUAUUAUGUUAUACCGAAUUUUGCAGUGCCCAACUUUGAUGUGUUUAAACAUAACACUGUAGUGUCCGAAGUUUAAUACAUUGACGCUGGCUUUGGUGUUCUUUCAUGUGGCCUUAUUGUGUGCCAUUCAUGCUAGCCUGUUUUAAAUGCUGCUUGUAUUAUCUUGUCUUUUUGUUCUGAAGCUCAUUCUGUUUAUGGUGACUUGCACAAUCUUUGCAACCUAUGUCAGUACGAUCUUACUGAUGCAGCUGCGACUUCCACGACACCAGCUUAUGGUGCUUCGUUGUAAAGUAUGUAUUGUUAGCGUCCUGUACGCUGUGAAAUCUUUGAGUUGCAGCCGCCUUAUGCUCACAGCAGUGCUGAUUUGAAUAGUUGUGCCCUAAAUAAUGCUGCAAAGUUUGCAAAUAGUACCCUGGACUGAUGGACCACAUCUGUACUUAACCUGACUCUCUCUUUAACUACUGAUCCUAACAGUGUACCUAGCAUAGCCUUGUAACCAUUUUUCAUGCUUAUUACAAUCUCUUAACAGUUUUGGUGCAAUUUCAGAUUAAGAGUACUUGUUUUGGUUCGGAGCAAUGCAGUUCUAUCUACUUCUCACUCCAUGUGCCGUGGUAUAAUGUAAACGACUUCAUUACAAGAAAGCCAAUUUCCUGGUUCAUCUUUUUCUUGAUGCUGCAGUUUCUUGGAGGCUCUGUGUUCUUCCUCUGCUGUUCUCCCUAAAAGUUCAGUGUGAAGUUUUGAAUACUCGAUGCCUGAAGUCAGCUUGUUCAUGAUCUAUAUAAGAAAAUACAGGCAUACGACAAGCAACAUGUGGAUCUGUCUAAAUUACGUAAACAUGCACUGGAAGUACUGCAGACUUCGCUAUAAACAGGACGACUUACCGUUUCAUUGCCAUUGCCCCAGUUGCAGCAUCAAGCAUUCUACUCGGACAUUCAAAUUAAGUGCGAAAAUUCCCAUGACUCUACAGCAGAAGCCAACGACAACGGCAUAUGUGCGAAUUUAGUGCCAACUGUGCUGCCAGAUGAGGGUGCCAUCACAAGUGAAGCCAGCGAGCGCUCGCGCCGUAACAAGUGCAUAUAUUCUUGUCCAUAUUGCCCUUACGUUGCACGGAGUUCGCACUUGACUGCACACAUGCGUGUCCAUACUGGUGAGAAACCAUUCAAAUGCAACGUCUGUUCAGCUUGCUUCACCACGAAAUCAAACCUGUCACGGCACGUGAGGGCUCAACUAUGCGGAAAGCCAUUUCCAUGAUCCGUCUGCAACUAGCGGUUCAACACCAAGUGCACAAGAAGUGAUUAGCUUGAUGUGUUCCAACUCCCUGAAAGAAGGUGGACUGUGCUGGGUGGCAGCAAGGCCUGUUCACACAGCCAUCAACUGCGAGUGUGCUUGAACAGCAAAGAAGGCUCAAGUUUCGAACAAGCAUUUCAGUCGUAUGUUCGUGGAGUGGUUGUGUAAUAGCAUGACAUUAUAAAAAGUAUCUGCCAAAGACGCUCACCAAUAGACUGUUUAUUAGAAAACCACUUAUGUGAAGAAGGUGUGGUGCUUCAAGCUGUGCUGUGAGGACCCCUUUGGUUGCAGUGCAAUGUUUUACUGUGCCAGGCAGUUUUAAAGUAGGAAACAGUUGCUGUUUCUGUAAUUUGGUGAGUCCGUUGCGCUCGGUGGUGUUUGGAUGCGCUGACGCAGAUGUCACUUAAGUUGCAGCAGUUUGGAACUCCAGUUUGUGGGAAGAGCUAGUGUGGAUAUGUUUUUCCAUGUGGUGACGUGGAUGCCAAUUUCGAAAUGCAUCACUUAUACAGUUCUGUGUACACAUGCAUCAGAGAUAAAAAGUUCAUGUUUGCCACAGCCAAGGUCUUUUUCGUUGGCUCGCCAACACUGUUAAAAAGCAUGCUGUUCUACUGUGAGGAAAUGGUUGAAAGCAUAGUGAAAGAGUUGCACUGAAAAAUUCUCAGAACCUAUGAAUGAAGGCUGAGAAAUAAAGCAAGGACUUCAAAGUGUGUCCUUUGAGUCGUUUCGUAUUUCACAAUUCAAAAUGGACAAGGCUUGCCUGAGGGGUUGUCGAGUGAAAGUAUGGAGUAGAUGGCGGAGUACAAGAUGUGGAGAGGUGGUCGAAAAGGUGUGAUUGCCGAGGUACUGCGCACUCUGUGGGGAGGAGGUGCAGCAUUAAAGAAGGAGUCACAUGGCACAGUGCUCGACUCAGUUGCAAAAAUGUGUUGCAUUUUGCUCAGUAAUGAAAAAAAAGCUUGUUGUCUUGUACACUGACAUCCUUGUGGAGAUGCAGAAAAGUAUAUUAUUGAGGCAUGGCUGCACGUGAGAAAAAGCACUUGCUCAAUCCCUAUUGUUUCGUGCCCCCUCAAUUUUUGCGACAGCAUGAAAAUUUUUGUCGAAUACA
Molecule: long non-coding RNA, 4518 nt
Organism: Dermacentor silvarum
Lineage: Eukaryota; Metazoa; Arthropoda; Arachnida; Ixodida; Ixodidae
Exons: 5
Source: RefSeq, a predicted model, not a curated record